ACAUGACUCUCGGCAACGGAUAUCUAGGCUCUCGCAUCGAUGAAGAACGUAGCAAACUGCGAUACUUGGUGUGAAUUGCAGAAUCCCGUGAACCAUCGAGUGUUUGAACGCAAGUUGCGCCCGAAGCCUUUAGGCCGAGGGCACGUCUGCCUGGGCGUCACGCAUCAGCGU
Molecule: ribosomal RNA, 171 nt
Filed under: Hoya spartioides
Lineage: Eukaryota; Viridiplantae; Streptophyta; Magnoliopsida; Gentianales; Apocynaceae
Description: 5.8S ribosomal RNA
Rfam family: 5.8S ribosomal RNA
About the family: 5.8S ribosomal RNA (5.8S rRNA) is a component of the large subunit of the eukaryotic ribosome. It is transcribed by RNA polymerase I as part of the 45S precursor that also contains 18S and 28S rRNA.
Source: RNAcentral